Molecule: non-coding RNA, 29 nt
Filed under: Mus musculus (house mouse)
Lineage: Eukaryota; Metazoa; Chordata; Mammalia; Rodentia; Muridae
Source: RNAcentral
UGNGCUUAAGGUUGACCUCUCUGAAAUGC